This 68-nucleotide transfer RNA is filed under the name Periplaneta constricta. RNAcentral's name for it is "tRNA-Cys". The record is from RNAcentral. Lineage: Eukaryota; Metazoa; Arthropoda; Insecta; Blattodea; Blattidae.
AGUCUUAUAUUCAUAUCACAUGAUAAUAGAAUGCAAUUCUAUAGGAGUAAAAUUAGUUACUAAGACUU